AAAGCUCAAAUUUAAAAUCUGGUGGUCGCUCUGGCCGUCCGAGUUGUAAUCUGGAGAAGUGUUUUCCGCGUCGGACCGUGUACAAGUCUUCUGGAACGGAGCGUCAUAGAGGGUGAGAAUCCCGUCUCUGACACGGACUGCCGAUGCUUUAUGUGAUACGCUCUCGAAGAGUCGAGUUGUUUGGGAAUGCAGCUCAAAAUGGGUGGUAAAUUCCAUCUAAAGCUAAAUAUUGGCGAGAGACCGAUAGCGAA
This 251-nucleotide ribosomal RNA is filed under the name Amphinema byssoides. Its description in RNAcentral is "partial large subunit ribosomal RNA". It matches the Rfam family "Eukaryotic large subunit ribosomal RNA", at positions 104 to 344 of the family's 3401-position model. The record is from RNAcentral. Lineage: Eukaryota; Fungi; Basidiomycota; Agaricomycetes; Atheliales; Atheliaceae.